CGCCGGUGGCAGACCGCAAGGCGCCACGGGAGGAAAGUCCGAGCUCCAUAGGGCAGGGUGCCGGUUAACGGCCGGUGGAGGCGACUCUAAGGAUAGUGCCACAGAAACAAACCGCUCACUCUUUUAGUGAGUAAGGGUGCAACGGUGCGGUAAGAGCGCACCAGCAGCAUGGAGACAUGCUGGCUAGGUAAACCCCACUUGGAGCAAGACCUGAUAGGGAAUCGACGACGUUAAGUCGUAGCUGUUGCCCGCAGUGAUUCCGGGUUUGGUCGCUCGAGCCGUGCAGCAAUGUACGGCCUAGACAGAUGAUUACUGCUCCGACGGCGGGAGCACGUGCCGCGUGCGCGCGUACCGCUAGGAGUACAGAACUCGGCUUAUUGUUUACU
This 386-nucleotide RNase P RNA is filed under the name Numidum massiliense. RNAcentral describes it as "Bacterial RNase P class A". It matches the Rfam family "Bacterial RNase P class A". Rfam says of the family: Ribonuclease P (RNase P) is a ubiquitous endoribonuclease, found in archaea, bacteria and eukarya as well as chloroplasts and mitochondria. Its best characterised activity is the generation of mature 5'-ends of tRNAs by cleaving the 5'-leader elements of precursor-tRNAs. The record is from RNAcentral. Lineage: Bacteria; Bacillati; Bacillota; Bacilli; Caryophanales; Bacillaceae.